Molecule: long non-coding RNA, 668 nt
Filed under: Homo sapiens (human)
Lineage: Eukaryota; Metazoa; Chordata; Mammalia; Primates; Hominidae
Description: HSALNT0111657
Source: RNAcentral
AUUAAACAUUUACAAAAAAUGAGGGUAGUGUUUCUCAACAGUGGGCAGUUUUGCCUCUCUCUCCCACCAGGGGACAUUUGACAAUGUCUAUAGACAUUUUGGGCUGUCACAAUUUUGGGAGAGGGGUACUCUUUGCAUCCAGUGGGUAAAGGCCUUGAAUGCUGCGAAACAUCCUACAGUGCACAGGACAGUAUCCUCCCUCCCCAGCUAAGAACUAUCUGAUCCCAGCUGUGAAUAGUGUCAUGGUUGAGAAACCCUGAAUUAGAAGGAUAACUGUUACGAAGGAGAAAUAAAGGUUGCUAUGAAAACUUAGAUAAUGGGGGUUAUAAAAGUUUUCAGUGAAGUAUGCCUUUUCAAUUUGGAACCCAGCCAAGGAGGUUUCCAGUGGAAGGAGGAGAUUCUUCAAUUGAGCUGGAACCUGGGCUGAGCUCCAGUGCUGCCUGUAAUGGGAAGGAGAUGUCACCAACCAGGCAACUCCGGAGGUGCCCUGGAAGUCAUUGCCUGACAAUAACUGAUGUUCCCGUCACUGUUUAUGCAACAACGAGAAAGCCACCUGCACAAAGCAGCAAGGAAAUGCAUCCUAAAUAGCACCAUUAAGUCUUUUGUCAAGGUCUGACUAGGUCAAGGGUAAUGGACCAGUAUCAUCUGGUGAUCUGGUAAACAAAUAA